RNAcentral lists this ribosomal RNA (465 nucleotides) under Vreelandella stevensii. RNAcentral's name for it is "partial 16S ribosomal RNA". It matches the Rfam family "Bacterial small subunit ribosomal RNA", at positions 338 to 795 of the family's 1533-position model. The record is from RNAcentral. Lineage: Bacteria; Pseudomonadati; Pseudomonadota; Gammaproteobacteria; Oceanospirillales; Halomonadaceae.
CCUACGGGGGGCAGCAGUGGGGAAUAUUGGACAAUGGGGGCAACCCUGAUCCAGCCAUGCCGCGUGUGUGAAGAAGGCCCUCGGGUUGUAAAGCACUUUCAGUGAGGAAGAACGCCUUGUGGUUAAUACCCAUCAGGAAAGACAUCACUCACAGAAGAAGCACCGGCUAACUCCGUGCCAGCAGCCGCGGUAAUACGGAGGGUGCGAGCGUUAAUCGGAAUUACUGGGCGUAAAGCGCGCGUAGGUGGCUUGAUAAGCCGGUUGUGAAAGCCCCGGGCUCAACCUGGGAACGGCAUCCGGAACUGUCAAGCUAGAGUGCAGGAGAGGAAGGUAGAAUUCCCGGUGUAGCGGUGAAAUGCGUAGAGAUCGGGAGGAAUACCAGUGGCGAAGGCGGCCUUCUGGACUGACACUGACACUGAGGUGCGAAAGCGUGGGUAGCAAACAGGAUUAGAUACCCUAGUAGUC